Molecule: transfer RNA, 77 nt
Filed under: Geobacter sp.
Lineage: Bacteria; Pseudomonadati; Thermodesulfobacteriota; Desulfuromonadia; Geobacterales; Geobacteraceae
Description: tRNA-Val
Rfam family: tRNA
About the family: Transfer RNA (tRNA) molecules are approximately 80 nucleotides in length. Their secondary structure includes four short double-helical elements and three loops (D, anti-codon, and T loops). Further hydrogen bonds mediate the characteristic L-shaped molecular structure. tRNAs have two regions of fundamental functional importance: the anti-codon, which is responsible for specific mRNA codon recognition, and the 3' end, to which the tRNAs corresponding amino acid is attached (by aminoacyl-tRNA synthetases). tRNAs cope with the degeneracy of the genetic code in two manners: having more than one tRNA (with a specific anti-codon) for a particular amino acid; and 'wobble' base-pairing, i.e. permitting non-standard base-pairing at the 3rd anti-codon position.
Source: RNAcentral
GGGCGCAUAGCUCAGUUGGUUAGAGCGCUUCUCUUACACAGAAGAGGUCAGGGGUUCGAGUCCCUUUGCGCCCACAA